RNAcentral lists this ribosomal RNA (497 nucleotides) under uncultured bacterium. RNAcentral describes it as "partial 16S ribosomal RNA". It matches the Rfam family "Bacterial small subunit ribosomal RNA", at positions 28 to 507 of the family's 1533-position model. The record is from RNAcentral.
GAUGAACGCUGGCGGCGUGCCUAAUACAUGCAAGUCGAGCGAACAGACGCUGAGCUUGCUCCUCUGACGUUAGCGGCGGACGGGUGAGUAACACCUGGUUAACCUACUUAUCAGACCUGCUUAAUUUCGGGAUACCGGAGCUAAUACUGGAUAAUAUAUUGAACCUCACGGUUCACUAGUGUAAGACGGGUUUGCUGUCUCUUAUAGAUGGAUCGGCGCUGCAUUAGCUAGUUGGUAGGGUAACGGCUUACCAAGGCAACGAUGCGUAGCCGACCUGUGAGGGUGAGUGGCCACACUGGAACGGAGACACGGACCAGACUCCUACGGGAGGCAGCAGUAGGGAAUGUUCCGCGAUGAGCGAGAGCCAGACGGAGCAAGGCCGGGUGAGUGAUGAAGGUAUUCGGAUCGGAAAACUCUGUUAUUAGGGAAGAACAAAUGUGUGAGUAACUAUGCACGUCUUGACGGUACCUAAUCAGAAAGCCACGGCUAACUACGUG